Lactuca sativa (garden lettuce) is the source of this 2437-nucleotide non-coding RNA. Lineage: Eukaryota; Viridiplantae; Streptophyta; Magnoliopsida; Asterales; Asteraceae. The record is from RefSeq and is a predicted model, not a curated record.
GGGUAGAUAAGGUAUGAACUUUAUACCUCAAAGGUCACCAAAACAUGGAGCUUAAUCCGGAUCUCUAAGCUUCCUUUCAAUGAAUGAGUCUUCCAACUUCUUCUUCUAUCACUUCAAGGAGCACAAACCACCAAAAUCAAGACCAAGGGCCAAGAACACUAAAAAAUGCUAUUAGGGUUCGAGAUUAGGGUUUUAGGAUAUAUCCGCAGGUCGGCGACUAAUGGAUCGAGAGCGCCUUUAAUCAUCUCACCAAGUCUAUGGUUCUUCUACUUCACAUAAUCAUCUUGCUGCACGGAACCAUCGACAGUCCAAUGGCAAGAAGACGAUUUCCAGAUGUAGAAGAGUUCUAUCAGCAGUGCGACCCUGAUUUAUCAUCUAUGCUGUGGGAUUUCUACGAGAAAUGGCAUGAAGCAUAGAUGCCAGCUGCUAGGCCGCUCCAAAGAAACGAACAAAACAGCAGCAACAAUGGCUCUAACGGAGCAGGGCAAUAGAGUAGUAUUGGCCAUAUUAGAUGGUGGUGGUGGCACUAUGUGAACUUCCAUAGAUGGGAUAGAUUUUCCAUGAAGGGUUUUUCUCAAAUCAGUUGGAUCUCAUAUUUGGCAUCUGGAAGGAUGUAAGUGGGAAUGUUCGCUAUUGUCGCAAGGUCACAACUUGAACCUAUUUACCUUUCUUUUUGGCCAUAUAAAAACUAUUUGAUUCUUAUAUAUUUUAAAUGAUAUUGGUAGGAAGAUAUGGUUAGGUGAACUGUAGGUGUGAAAUCGGUGGAUAGAGAUUGGAAGGUGAGGAAAUUGAUCACACAUACGUCGGAAUUUGUAGAGCUUCACACCGGAUGGUUUAAUUCUGUUUCAAGUUUAAGGACCAUAUUGCCCCUACUUUUGAAUAUGUUCAACAAUUUCAGGUAUUGUCAUCAAUAUACGUAAAUUACAAAUCUUGCAAAAUAGGUAUGUUGUUAUGGUGUGUUUCUGAAUAUCAUCUAGCUUUUAUGCAAUUUAACUUUUUUUAUACCCCCAAUAUUUUAUAUUUUGUUUUAUGGUAAAAAUCACUCUGUUUUAUGGUAAAAAAAAAUAUUGAGCUUAACAGUUUUUAUCCAAAAUGCUACUACAUACUGUUUUUUUUUUUUUUUUUGGUAAACAAAAUAGUGAUUUUAACAUUAUUUUUGUCAAAAAUGCCCCUUCAUACUGUUUUUUUUUUUUUUUUGAUAAAAAAAAUAUUUUAACGGGUUUGACCAAACUACCCCUACAUGUUGUUUUUUGGUAAAAAAAACAAGUGGACGUAUUUUUGCUUCUUCUUGCAUUUAGCCCGCUAAAUAUUUCCAAUAAUUUUUUUAUUCUUAUAGCAUUUUACUUCUUUGUUAUUUUUUAUAACAGUUGCAUGGUUUUAAGGUAAAUUUCAUUGCCUUUUUGUAUCUAAUAAUGGUUAUAUUUCAUUCCACUCACUAAUCUAUUGAUGAUUUCCGAAUGGGAAAUUGCCUCCAUAGACAACAAGGUACUAUCUUAAAGAACAAGUAUAAUUUUUCUCUUUAAUUUACACACAUUACGCAUGUAUUUUGAUUUCAAGGGUUUCUUGAAUGUUCUUCAUCCAGAUUAUACAAAUGAAAGCAUUUGGUAAUUCAGCGGAGAAGGAGGCGAGAGCAAAAAGGCAACUGAUUCCAACGGACCUACCAUGAUUUCAAACAAAGAAACUUCGGGUUUCUUGCUUUCUUCCACAAUUCUAUUUCAAUAUCCACUUACCUUAGAGGUGACAGACCGGAAUCUUUGGUUUUAGGUUGUCUAUCACGAAGCAUGUCUGUGAAAUCUUCUCUAUUUAUCAGUUUUGAGAAAAUGUCAAUCGAUUUCAGCAACAGAAAUUACACGUAAAGAACUUCAGAAGGUAAAAAUGGGUUUGCACUGUCUUCACUCGACAUCAACUAUAUACUCGGAGCGUGCUAAAAACGGGUUUGCACUGGUAAAAAUAAGCUUCUACAACACUCGGGGCAUCCAUGACAUCACCACCACCACAAACACCUGAGGAAGAAGAUUGCUCAUAUUGAUUGUACUCAAAGAGCUAUUAAAAUAAUGGAAGAUGCAAAAAGACCUGAUGUGGUUAUAAAUUUGAGUUCAGCAUCAGCUUUAUAUCAAUGAUAACUGACCCUAUUUAUUCCACUGCCAAAGGUUGUUAUUUUAUAAUUCAUAUGAGAAUAAAAAAAAUAUAAUCUUAUAUUUUUUUUUCUAAUGUUUUCUUUGUUGGAAAGGGGGUGUGGUUAUGUUUAUCGGAUUGCUUUAAACCUACAAGAGAAAGGGUAUUUGUGUGUAUGUGCUUUGCCCUGAGGGUGAUAAGAGCAGUGUCUCUUCAUUCUUUAAUGGUUUACAAGUAGAUGAGAAACUUUGGUGAUGGAUUGUCUGAAAAUGGAAAUUUUAUAUCUUGGAAACCGUUUUAAAUGUCACUUUUUAUUUUUCAA